UACGGAAGGCAGCAGUGGGGAAUAUUGGACAAUGGGCGCAAGCCUGAUCCAGCCAUGCCGCGUGUGUGAAGAAGGCCUUCGGGUUGUAAAGCACUUUUGUCCGGAAAGAAAAGCUUAGGGUUAAUAACCUUGAGUCAUGACGGUACCGGAAGAAUAAGCACCGGCUAACUUCGUGCCAGCAGCCGCGGUAAUACGAAGGGUGCAAGCGUUACUCGGAAUUACUGGGCGUAAAGCGUGCGUAGGUGGUUUGUUAAAGUCUGAUGUGAAAGCCCUGGGCUCAACCUGGGAAUGGCAUUGGAAACUGGCUUACUAGAGUGCGGUAGAGGGGUGUGGAAUUCCCGGUGUAGCAGUGAAAUGCGUAGAUAUCGGGAGGAACAUCUGUGGCGAAGGCGACACCCUGGACCAGCACUGACACUGAGGCACGAAAGCGUGGGGAGCAAACAGGGAUUAGAUACC
This 456-nucleotide ribosomal RNA is filed under the name uncultured bacterium. RNAcentral describes it as "bacterial SSU rRNA". It matches the Rfam family "Bacterial small subunit ribosomal RNA", at positions 340 to 786 of the family's 1533-position model. The record is from RNAcentral.